ACACUUCACACAGGUGAGAACCAGCAGGGAUCCAGAAUUAUUUCUUGAACAUUGAGCAUACACUUUGGAGGCAAUUGUCAACGUUCGGCUUUAAACAACCAGUGGGGAAGAUGUCCGUCUUCAGCCUUUCCACACUGGAUUCAUGUACUAAUAAAUAACAGCAAUGUUUAGGUGCUUAACUAGGGUCUGAAAACUCUUUACAGAGAAGGUGAAGUAUCAUUUACUCAAUUUUACAAAUGGGGAAACUGAGGCACGGAGAUGCAGCACUUUGCCCAAAUUCACACAGCAAAUCCACAGCAGAGAUGGGACUAGUCCCCAGUUCCACAUUCUAACCACUAAUGCUCCCCAGUCAGAACACCCAAAUGUAGCAGAAAAGUAAUUUAGCUAUUAGUAUUUGUAUCACAGAAGUGACUAAAAGCCCCUCCCAUACUGAGCGAGGUACUGUACAAGCACAUUACAGAGCCGCAGUCCCUGUCCCAGAGAGCUUACAAUCUAUAGACUACUGCCUGGUUUCUUAAAAACAGAAGUUUGUAGGUUUCAUCAUCUUGGAAAUAUCAAUUAGCACACACUAAAGCCUAGCUCACAUGACAUAGUAUCUUACUGCACUGAAGUCAAUGGAACUACCCACGGUGUAAAACGUUACUCAACAUGAAUAAGGGUGUCAAAAGUGCAAUGGUUCUAUGACCGACUGAAAGAUAUAUAUAACUUCGGUCUCCUUGACUCCACUAACUCCCAUUCAUACAGUGCCUUUCCUCCAGAAGGAUCAGAAAGCACUUUACAGACUAUGGCCCCAAUCCUGCAAUCUGCUGCAUGUGUCGUGGAUGUCCACCCAGAGCCAGUUGCAAGAUUUGGGGCCUAUAUUCAAAACCUGCUAUGUUUCCUGCUGCCCUCCAUCUCAGAGGUGGCUGCAUUUUAGCCACGCAGCCUGUAUUCGUUCAUGGUCUUUAAAAUACUGUUGGGAUCCUUCUGAUUACAAACACUUUUUACUGUUCCAGCUUGGAGGAUGCCAGAGAGUCCUGUUAAAACUGGGGCUAAGCUGACAACAACUAUAAUAAAUCUCAUCUCCACCCAUCUCAUGCACUGAGGUUUCAGAAAACUUCAGACUUGGCAUUUCAUACUCUGCUGCAUUUUUCCUAUGGCCUUAGUUUAGGGUGGGUAGGGGUCUCUGGCCCUCCCACUGGGGCUUGGACAAAAGCCUGAGUGGGGGGUGAUGAUCUUGCCCAUUUCACUCUGGUGUGGGUGUCUGUGUUGCUGCUGAGUUCAUGGAGGAGACAGAUUUUAAGGAGAGAGAAUUUUUAAUUGGGCAGUAAAGAUAUAUUAUACAAACACUCAGACACCUAGACAUACACCAAGCUGUCCCUAAAACAGCAGCAGCCCCACCACCCUAAGAAAGCCCCUCAACCAACACCAACCAUUGGCUAGCAUUUGAGAAAGAGCCGGCUCUAAGGGGUUUUGGUAACAGAGUCUGGAAAGGAAAAGGUGGAGACUUGCUACUUUCUCAAAACCAAGCCUACAGCCGGCAAACUCCCAUCUGAUGCCCUCAGCACAUGCCUGCAAAAGGACAGGGAUGAGUCUUCAGCAGGGGCUGUGGCACGCUUGCCAAAGGGCGAGGAUGGGAAUGCGAGGGGCACGCAAAGCCAGACAGGGGGCGGGCCGCACGGCGGAUUGUGGAAUGCAUGCAAUGAGGCAGCGCAAGAGUGUGGCAAUCAUUCAGGAGAGAAGAGAGCAACAGAAGGGGGUGCGGCAUGUCAGAACGGGGGCGUGGCGUGCCUGCAAUCUGGCAGAUAGAAAAAUAUGCGAGAAGGCGUGGUUUGCAUGCCAGUGGACUGGGGAAGCACUGGGGAAGGCGCUGAAGUGCAUGCAAAAGAGGGCAGUGGGGUACAAGGGAUUGACAUGCAUGCAGAUGAGCUGGAAUGGGUCUGGAAGGCAUACAAAGAGUCAUGGACAGAAGCGCAAAAUGCACGCAAAGGGCAGAGACAAGGGUGUGGUGUGUAUUCUAAAACUCCAGGAACAGAGGCUGCCUCACGUACGCGGCUGCAGGGAGCCCCCGGCCUGGAGUCCCGGCUGGGAAGGGACUGCGAGGGACUUCGCUGGCAGCACACCACAGCUACAGAGCCCAAAUGCACCGGGGAGAGGAACAGGGACACACACACACAAAUACAACGCGACCAGCCACCCGCCCCAGACAGCGAUAGGCAGAGAACAGGAGCACACAGGGAGAAUGUCCACAUUUUGCUUAACUAAGGGGGACAGGUUGGCAGCCUGCCAGAUGCUGAAGGAAGCACCUAAUUAACAUAAAAUGAGAGUAGUUGCAGCAGUAACUCUCAUCUUUAAUACAUGGACAGCCUGCCGACAAAUUCACAGAUCAUAGCGUGCCGUGCUCUGCGUUGGACCAAGAUAGAGCACAAACAUAAUUUGCUCGAGCUCAGACCUUCUACUGGCUCCAGACAGCUUGGAUCAAGACUAGGUUUGGCAUGCUGAAAUCCACACCCAUUUAGCUCUGUGCUACUCCAAAUCAACAGGGAGGAGGGCAUGCUGGGGACUGUAGUCUGCCACAGGUUGGCCUGCUGCAUUAAUGAGAAAAGAGAUAUGGAAUGCAUUUAAGA
Long non-coding RNA from Gopherus flavomarginatus (Mexican gopher tortoise), 2606 nucleotides. RefSeq lists it as uncharacterized. Lineage: Eukaryota; Metazoa; Chordata; Testudines; Testudinidae. The transcript has 3 exons. The record is from RefSeq and is a predicted model, not a curated record.